This 174-nucleotide ribosomal RNA is filed under the name Triticum aestivum (bread wheat). RNAcentral describes it as "partial small subunit ribosomal RNA". The record is from RNAcentral. Lineage: Eukaryota; Viridiplantae; Streptophyta; Magnoliopsida; Poales; Poaceae.
UAUUAUACAGCAUUUCUAAUUCGUGAAUUUCUAAUGAUCGCCGUGUCCUGCAUGCUGGAUCCUCUACUAUUCUAUGUUCUUUCCGAAAGCGUGCCAAUCCCUAUGUUGUGCGGAGCUGAGCAUCUUCUAUUCGCUGGGAUCAAGCUUUUCCUCUGCAGGGGCCUUGUGCAGUAA